Molecule: ribosomal RNA, 603 nt
Filed under: Saccharomyces cerevisiae (brewer's yeast)
Lineage: Eukaryota; Fungi; Ascomycota; Saccharomycetes; Saccharomycetales; Saccharomycetaceae
Description: eukaryotic LSU rRNA
Rfam family: Eukaryotic large subunit ribosomal RNA
Source: RNAcentral
AAAUUAAGAUUUUUUGAAUUCCCCUCUACGGAGGAAAAGAAACCAACCGGGAUUGCCUUAGUAACGGCGAGUGAAGCGGCAAAAGCUCAAAUUUGAAAUCUGGUACCUUCGGUGCCCGAGUUGUAAUUUGGAGAGGGCAACUUUGGGGCCGUUCCUUGUCUAUGUUCCUUGGAACAGGACGUCAUAGAGGGUGAGAAUCCCGUGUGGCGAGGAGUGCGGUUCUUUGUAAAGUGCCUUCGAAGAGUCGAGUUGUUUGGGAAUGCAGCUCUAAGUGGGUGGUAAAUUCCAUCUAAAGCUAAAUAUUGGCGAGAGACCGAUAGCGAACAAGUACAGUGAUGGAAAGAUGAAAAGAACUUUGAAAAGAGAGUGAAAAAGUACGUGAAAUUGUUGAAAGGGAAGGGCAUUUGAUCAGACAUGGUGUUUUGUGCCCUCUGCUCCUUGUGGGUAGGGGAAUCUCGCAUUUCACUGGGCCAGCAUCAGUUUUGGUGGCAGGAUAAAUCCAUAGGAAUGUAGCUUGCCUCGGUAAGUAUUAUAGCCUGUGGGAAUACUGCCAGCUGGGACUGAGGACUGCGACGUAAGUCAUGGGAUGCUGCAUACGUACGU